UUAAAGAGUAUGUGUGUGUUAUUAUUAAACAAUACAUGGUUAUUAUUAAACAAUACAUGGUGUGGUGUAUGUGUGCUCUUCAAUGUGAGUGCAUAACCCUGUGUUAUGAAUACAUAACUUGUAUAACCUUAUUUUAUCACACAUAGAUGCAUAACAAACAGUUUUAUAGGAACUGGUAACAUAAAACAUGGUUAUAUGAACUUCACUCUUAAUCAACUUAUGCAGUUUAACACUUUUAUCUGAUUAAAGAUUAAAUCUUACACUACAGUUAGCACCCAGCGUCUAACUCUGCUAAACUCUGAGCAACCAGCUUCCUCUGAGUUUCACCUUUGGAACAAAGGACCCAACAAAGACUGCACCUGGAACCAUCUUCCCAGCCUUCUUCUGCCAGCUAACAAAGCAGCACACCACCAAGUGACUCUUUCUCCCAUCCAUUCAAGGAUCGCAUGCCACCGGCCCUGUGACACAGAGAGUUUACGUGAGAACUGGCUGUUACUGCCAAGCAUUUCAGCCUAAGUAAAAGGGAAAAGGAAGAGAGACAGCAACACAGAGCUGCUUGAAUACCUGGCGGAGGGUGGAUGAGAGGUUCUUGCAGCACAGCAAGGACCUGAAUGAUGAGCUGCUGCAGAAGCUGGAGACUGACACCAGUGUGUUUCUUGGACUGAUGGGACGCAUAGUAUCUGUGAUGGAGGCCCAUGCCCAGAAAUGAGCAGUUCUGUUUCAUGGGAAGUUUUAGUUUUGCACAUUCAAUGUACACUUGUCACUUUUAUCAUUA
Epinephelus fuscoguttatus (brown-marbled grouper) is the source of this 775-nucleotide long non-coding RNA. RefSeq lists it as uncharacterized. The transcript is spliced from 3 exons. The record is from RefSeq and is a predicted model, not a curated record. NCBI's taxonomy places the organism in Eukaryota, Metazoa, Chordata, Actinopteri, Perciformes, Serranidae.